UACGAGGGGGGCGAGCGUUGUUCGGAAUUAUUGGGCGUAAAGGGUGCGUAGGCGGUUCCGCAAGUCCUGUGUGAAAUCUUCGGGCUCAACUCGAAGUCUGCACGGGAAACUGCGGGGCUUGAGUGUGGGAGAGGUGAGUGGGAUUCCCGGUGUAGCGGUGAAAUGCGUAGAUAUCGGGAGGAACACCUGUGGCGAAAGCGGCUCACUGGACCAUAACUGACGCUGAGGCACGAAAGCUAGGGGAGCAAACAGG
Molecule: ribosomal RNA, 253 nt
Filed under: uncultured bacterium
Lineage: Bacteria
Description: partial 16S ribosomal RNA
Rfam family: Bacterial small subunit ribosomal RNA
Source: RNAcentral